UGGGUAACCUGCCUCAAAGAGGGGAAUAGCCUCCCGAAAGGGAGAUUAAUACCGCAUAAUAUGUUUAAGUCGCAUGACUUUAACAUCAAAGGAUUUUCUUUUAGAAAUUCCACUUUGAGAUGGACCCGCGGCGCAUUAGCUAGUUGGUGAGGUAACGGCUCACCAAGGCAACGAUGCGUAGCCGACCUGAGAGGUGAUCGGCCACAUUGGAACUGAGACACGGUCCAGACUCCGUAGGAGG
This 241-nucleotide ribosomal RNA is filed under the name uncultured bacterium. Its description in RNAcentral is "partial 16S ribosomal RNA". It matches the Rfam family "Bacterial small subunit ribosomal RNA", at positions 118 to 348 of the family's 1533-position model. The record is from RNAcentral.